RNAcentral lists this ribosomal RNA (253 nucleotides) under uncultured bacterium. RNAcentral's name for it is "partial 16S ribosomal RNA". It matches the Rfam family "Bacterial small subunit ribosomal RNA", at positions 524 to 776 of the family's 1533-position model. The record is from RNAcentral.
UACGUAGGGUGCAAGCGUUGUCCGGAUUUAUUGGGUUUAAAGGGUACGUAGGCGGCUUUUUAAGUUAUGGGUGAAAUCCCACAGCUCAACUGUGGAACUGCCUGUGAUACUGACUAGCUUGAGUGCGGUUGAGGCAGCUGGAAUUGGUGGUGUAGCGGUGAAAUGCAUAGAUACCACCAGGAACACCGAUUGCGAAGGCAGGUUGCCAAGCCGUAACUGACACUGAGGCACGAAAGCGUGGGGAUCAAACAGG